UACGGGGGGGGCAAGCGUUGUUCGGAAUUACUGGGCGUAAAGGGCUCGUAGGUGGCCAACUAAGUCAGACGUGAAAUCCCUCGGCUUAACCGGGGAACUGCGUCCGAUACUGGCAGGCUUGAAUUCGGGAGAGGGAUGUGGAAUUCCAGGUGUAGCGGUGAAAUGCGUAGAUAUCUGGAGGAACACCGGUGGCGAAGGCGGCAUCCUGGACCUGACCUGACGCUGAGGCGCGAAGGCGUGGGGAGCGAACGGG
This 253-nucleotide ribosomal RNA is filed under the name uncultured bacterium. Its description in RNAcentral is "partial 16S ribosomal RNA". It matches the Rfam family "Bacterial small subunit ribosomal RNA", at positions 524 to 776 of the family's 1533-position model. The record is from RNAcentral.